Molecule: long non-coding RNA, 1396 nt
Organism: Diabrotica virgifera virgifera (western corn rootworm)
Lineage: Eukaryota; Metazoa; Arthropoda; Insecta; Coleoptera; Chrysomelidae
Exons: 3
Source: RefSeq, a predicted model, not a curated record
CACAAGAAUCUACAGGUCGAGCAAGUCUCGUAAAUUUCACGAUUGCGAGCCACGCUUCACGCAACCGUGUUUGCGUACUUGUGUUUCGAGUUGCGUGGUCGUGCGGAGUUAUAUUUACCAAAUUUAAAUAUAAUCGUUUCUACUGAUUCAUACGCUGUCAAAAUUAAAUCAAUAUGGCUACUGGGUGUAAAAGAUAAAUCUUAUUCUAUCUGUUCUUAAUGAGUUUUAGAUAAUUUUAGUUGUAUUUCUUUGUAAUUUUGUGUUGUACAAAGAUUAAUUUAACAUUUUCUCUGGAAGUAUUAAUUUAGAAAGAUAAUAUGCUUCAUUGGUGUUGUGUUUUGAAGUGUGAAAUGCAAAGUAAUUGUGAUAAAGUCAAGAUAAAGUUCACUUUUAAACUGAACUAAAUAAGGUAUCUGAGAGACAACAAUGGUUAAAUGCAAUACAAUGUACAGGUUUUACUAGCGAAAUGAAAAUUUUCCUGUCCUGUCUGCUGUAAUCAUUUUAUAUCUGGAAAACCAGCCGACUUAAUCGAUAAUAACAAUCUCCAGAAAUAUUCAUAUUGAAAUUAUUUAUAAGGCACUGGACUGUCUUAAAUUCUACAAUAAUACUAGAAUCAGCUGAGAGAAGUGGUCUACAAAAAACCAGGAAGGAAACGGAAUAUGUGGCUACGAAAGGCAAAAGAAAGGUUUACAAAGCAAAUGUGACACAUUUUUUUGAAAUAUUUAGGAAUAUCAGUAAAUUGCAUUAAAAAAAUGUAUGAAAAGAUUUUGUUCAAUAAAAAUGUUUAUAUUUAUCAAGGAUGUAUUAUUUGGUAUGGCCACAUAUCGUCAGUGAUGUAAUAAUACAUCCUAUCUGUUUUUUCAUGAGUUUUGUAAGAGAGACUAAAAACUUGUCUUAGGGUCACCUCCUGUUUUCAUAUGAUAUUUUUUGACUUGUUUUGUAGUAAAUUAAACUAUCUAUGAACUACAAAACAAGUCAAAACUUACAUAUGAACACAGGAGGUGACCUUAAAACAUGUUUUUCCAUCUCUCAUACAAAACUCAUGAAAAAACAGAUAGGAGGUAUUGUCACAUCAGCAAGGAUGUACAGUGAUGAGUGCCCUAAUAACCGGCAAAAUAUGGGCAACAUAUUUAGUUGUGAGAUAAAAAGAAAUGAAACUAGUUGAGCUGGGAAAUUUAGCGAAAUUAACCUUUAAAUUUACGUUAUAUUGAUCCCACCUUUACACAUAUCGGAGGAGUAUGUCAACUAAAACUGUCACUGUGACAGUGGUAGUUUCCAAACUCGUCUGAUACAUCUGAAGGUGGUACAAAAUCAAUACAAUCUAAAUGUAUAAGUUAAUAGGUUUGUUCGUAGAACGAUCAGCAACCGUUGCCAACCAUCAGACACAUGCGCGUUC